Molecule: long non-coding RNA, 201 nt
Filed under: Nicotiana benthamiana
Lineage: Eukaryota; Viridiplantae; Streptophyta; Magnoliopsida; Solanales; Solanaceae
Description: long non-coding RNA (NBEN_LNC020782)
Source: RNAcentral
UGCAAAGGUCCUUAACAGAACUAAUAGGACAGUAGAGAAUGAAUGACAUGCUGCAUUUGCUCCAGAACUGGAUAUUACACUGCCUCUGCAAAAAAACGAGAGUGUGCAGACCACAUAUCGUCAAGAUAUAUCUCAUCGGCAAGAUAAGGUCAACAAGGCAGCGAGACCUCUUGGACAGAUGCAUCACCAUCUCCAAAAUCC